RNAcentral lists this long non-coding RNA (550 nucleotides) under Anser brachyrhynchus (Pink-footed goose). RNAcentral's name for it is "lncRNA (ENSABRG00000002097.1)". Lineage: Eukaryota; Metazoa; Chordata; Aves; Anseriformes; Anatidae. The record is from RNAcentral.
AUGAAUUCUGCCAUCUUGACUGCAUUUGCAAAUAUCUCAGUCCUAAUGCAGGAGAAGCAAGUUCUCUGUAUGUGACUGUCAACCCAGCUCCUGGUGGUCCUAUGAUUGUUUGGGUAUGCUUCCAGCACAGGUGUAAAAUGCAACAAGGUGGGAAGGAAACCCUUCUCCUGCAGCAGCACCUGGGGUAGAAGGCUUAGACAACACAAGUUCACUGCACCUGAAUUGGGUGAAGUUUUGCAAAUUCAAUGGUGUUAAUUAUUAGUAAUCCCUGUGAUUAUAUAACAGUACUCAUGGUGGUGAUUCUUUUUGCUGAACAGAAACUAUGCAGCAAGAGAGAAGUGGUUUCUACAAAGAAAACAGUUCUUCCUCACAUUUCAAGAAUCAGUGAACAUCGAUAUUUAAGUCUUGAGAUUCCUGCUUUUUUGGAGCUAACACUCCUUGACUGUGAUCAGAGAUUGGAUGUAUGUCACUUCCCUGUAGAUAUUCAACUAAGCACUUUAGUAAAAUUAAUUAAUCUAUAUUUGUCUCUAUUUUAUAUAUUAUCUCAGAA